RNAcentral lists this unclassified non-coding RNA (212 nucleotides) under Hevea brasiliensis (rubber tree). The record is from RNAcentral. Lineage: Eukaryota; Viridiplantae; Streptophyta; Magnoliopsida; Malpighiales; Euphorbiaceae.
GACAAUUGCGCUGCAAGCUAAGUGAAAUUUAGGGUUUGUUACAGGAUCUUGUCGAAAGGAUCAAUUCAGUAGUGAAGAUUGGGAAACAUGUAAUGCAAUUGUGUCAUAAUGGAUCAUGAACAAUUGUGUUAUAAUGGAUCUAGUUUGCGGUUUGAUAAAGUAAAAAUAAGUUCAAAUUUUUUAAUUACACAGGGAAAUUGCUACACCAUCGC